Molecule: ribosomal RNA, 446 nt
Filed under: uncultured bacterium
Lineage: Bacteria
Description: partial 16S ribosomal RNA
Rfam family: Bacterial small subunit ribosomal RNA
Source: RNAcentral
CCUACGGGCGGCAGCAGUCGAGUAUCAUUCACAAUGGGGGAAACCCUGAUGGUGCGACGCCGCGUGGGGGAAUGAAGGUCUUCGGAUUGUAAACCCCUGUCAUGUGGGAGCAAAUUAAAAAGAUAGUACCACAAGAGGAAGAGACGGUUAACUCUGUUCCAGCAGCCGCGGUAAUACAGAGGUCUCAAGCGUUGUUCGGAAUCACUGGGCGUAAAGCGUGCGUAGGCUGUUUCGUAAGUCGUGUGUGAAAGGCGCGGGCUCAACCCGCGGACGGCAGAUGAUACUGCGAGACUAGAGUAAGGGAGGGGGAGGCGGAAUGCUCGGUGUAGCAGUGAAAUGCGUAGAUAUCGAGAGGAACACUCGUGGCGAAGGCGGGUUCCUGGACAUUAACUGACGCUGAGGCACGAAGGCCAGGGGAGCGAAAGGGAUUAGAUACCCCAGUAGUC